CAUUAUGAAAAAUUUUUAAGACCUAGAAAAAGUUUAAAAAAUAACUACCAUCAAGUUUAAGAAACAAGCAUUAUCAAGUCAGGAGAAACCUUCAGUACAUUCCUCCUUAAUUGCAUCCAGUCCUAUACAUCUUUAAACAUACAGCCUUUUUCUGUUUAUUAUUUUUAAUGAAUCUAACUAUUAAAAAUAAAACUUAAAGUAGCUUUUUAGGUAAACAAACCUCUUCUUAUGGUAAAGAAAUGAUAUAUCCGCAAGGGCCAUGGCUAUGUUAUCUGUAGUAGGAAUUAUUAAAUUGUUAUUUAUAAUAGCAUUAUUUCUUUAUUUUAACAUUUAGUUUCUAUGCCUUUGCAUAUGUCAACCUGGAUUAUAAUGAAGAACAUUGUUGCUAAAAAUGGAUUUUCCGGAUUAUUUUCAGGCCUAAUUCCUCGCUUAAUUAAAAUUGCUCCUGCUUGUGCCAUUAUGAUCAGUACAUAUGAAUUU
RNAcentral lists this small RNA (480 nucleotides) under Pan troglodytes (chimpanzee). RNAcentral's name for it is "retained intron". The record is from RNAcentral. Lineage: Eukaryota; Metazoa; Chordata; Mammalia; Primates; Hominidae.